GGAGAGAUGUCUGAGUGGUCGAAAGAGGCGGUCUUGAAAACCGUUGAGCCGCAAGGCUCCGUGGGUUCGAAUCCCACUCUCUCCG
This 85-nucleotide transfer RNA is filed under the name bacterium. RNAcentral describes it as "tRNA-Ser". It matches the Rfam family "tRNA". Rfam says of the family: Transfer RNA (tRNA) molecules are approximately 80 nucleotides in length. Their secondary structure includes four short double-helical elements and three loops (D, anti-codon, and T loops). The record is from RNAcentral. RNAcentral also lists the same sequence under 2 other names.